CUUGAUAGAUCAUAAGAGGUCCCGCCUGCCCUGUGACUCAGUUUAACGGCCGCGGUACCUUAACCGUGCAAAGGUAGCACAAUCAAUCGUCCUCUAAAUAGGGACUAGUAUGAAUGGCUUCACGAGGGCCUAGCUGUCUCCCCUUUUUAAUCAAUGAAACUGAUCUUCUCGUGAAGAAGCGAGAAUAAAAAUAUAAGACGAGAAGACCCUAUGGAGCUUUAAACCCACCAUCACCUGCCCUUGCUACAACAAAACAACAGGCAGCCCUGCUACUAGGUGGUUUUCGGCUGGGGUGGCCCUGGAGUAAAACAAACCCUCCAGAUUGAAUGGUUUAAACCCCUAACCUAAGAAUUACUAUUCAAAGAAUCAACAUUUUGACAUAAUUGACCCAAUAAAUUGAUCAACGAACCAAGUUACCCUAGGGAUAACAGCGCAAUCCAUUUCAAGAGCCCCUAUCGACAAAUGGGUUUACGACCUCGAUGUUGGAUCGGGGUAUCCUAGCGGCGCAGCCGCUGCUAAAGGUUCGUUUGUUCAACGAUUAAUAACCC
This 548-nucleotide ribosomal RNA is filed under the name Kassina cassinoides (silver running frog). RNAcentral describes it as "partial small subunit ribosomal RNA". It matches the Rfam family "Bacterial large subunit ribosomal RNA", at positions 1822 to 2597 of the family's 2925-position model. Lineage: Eukaryota; Metazoa; Chordata; Amphibia; Anura; Hyperoliidae. The record is from RNAcentral.